AAAGAUGAUUUGAUCUGUAAAAAAAAGGGGGGGUGGGGGGGAACAAACCAAAGCUUAGAAAAAGACUUCCACUUCUUCCAUGGUGGGACAAUCUAAUCUCCCCCAAAGACAAAAAAACAGGAGAUUUGUAUGAUAAGAUGGAAACAGUUAGAAGUGGUUCUCCAGCUAGAAUGGUCUGGUCUUCGGUGUCCUUCUGAGGUUGCCUGUCCCACGUCGCCUUUGCAGUGUCCACCCAACCGGUUCAUGGGCAAACAUAUACUUCUUUCUGCCCAAAAGCAACCGUCUUCGGUGGUGUCUCCGGCCUGACAAUAUCUUAAGUCACAUGCUUCGGCCAAACCAAAAGAGACAUUUGGGAGUAAAAAUAUCAUGGAAGCCCUUAUACUAAGUGCAUUCAAAGAAGAAAUGAAAACCUAACAAAAAAUGCUUACUUGCAUCACAAGUCAUAGAAACUAAACACACCUUGACAUACAAAAGGCAGAAACCUUAUGGAAUUCGGGUAUCUGCUGGACUGAUACGAGCGUGGUCCAGGCAAAUGACCUGUCUUUGGUGCAAGAACGAACCUAAGCUUGGAACCUGUCUAAAUAUCACAUGUAAUGGACCAUUAAGCAGCAAAAUUUCUAGUACCAAAGACUAGAAUUAGUCUUCCUCCCAAUCAUUUUACCAUACACUCAAAAGGGCAAAU
This 682-nucleotide long non-coding RNA is filed under the name Gossypium raimondii (Peruvian cotton). RNAcentral describes it as "long non-coding RNA (GRAI_LNC002412)". Lineage: Eukaryota; Viridiplantae; Streptophyta; Magnoliopsida; Malvales; Malvaceae. The record is from RNAcentral.